This is a long non-coding RNA of Zophobas morio, 400 nucleotides long. RefSeq lists it as uncharacterized. NCBI's taxonomy places the organism in Eukaryota, Metazoa, Arthropoda, Insecta, Coleoptera, Tenebrionidae. The transcript has 4 exons. The record is from RefSeq and is a predicted model, not a curated record.
GGUUACAAAGCGCCCGUGCCCACAACCAUUUUAUGUCAAUCAGACCUAUUCCAUAUUUAAGCAGAAAAAAGAUAGUUAUCUCAAGCGACGAACUCGGCAGUCUUUGCAAUGAAAUUGAAGCGGCUUAGUGCAGACUUCUUUAAUAUCUGAAAAACUUAUCUCCGCAUCGCCUGAAGCAAAAGUAGGACAUGGACUCCUUGGGUGAUUAAAGCUAGCUUAGCGUCUAUAAGCCAGUGACGAAGCUGAGAAAUACCCUUUGGUUUUUGUCCUUGCCAAGCUUGUUGGAUGUACUUAUCGAAGAAGACGAGAUCCAGAGGACGUAUAAUUUAGUACGUGCAUAGAAGAGUACGUGCUUACAAGGUAAUGAAGAGGGGAGACAAGGAAGUGGAAAAAGAAGCAA